GACGAACGCUGGCGGCGUGCUUAACACAUGCAAGUCGAACGGAAAGGCCCUGCUUUUGUGGGGUGCUCGAGUGGCGAACGGGUGAGUAACACGUGAGUAACCUGCCCUUGACUUUGGGAUAACUUCAGGAAACUGGGGCUAAUACCGGAUAGGAGCUCCUGCUGCAUGGUGGGGGUUGGAAAGUUUCGGCGGUUGGGGAUGGACUCGCGGCUUAUCAGCUUGUUGGUGGGGUAGUGGCUUACCAAGGCUUUGACGGGUAGCCGGCCUGAGAGGGUGACCGGCCACAUGGGGACUGAGAUACGGCCCAGACUCCUACUGGAGGCAGCAGUGGGGAAUAUUGCACAAUGGGCGGAAGCCUGAUGCAGCAACGCCGCGUGCGGGAUGACGGCCUUCGGGUUGUAAACCGCUUUCGCCUGUGACGAAGCGUGAGUGACGGUAAUGGGGAAAGAAGCACCGGCUAACUACGU
This 467-nucleotide ribosomal RNA is filed under the name uncultured bacterium. RNAcentral's name for it is "partial 16S ribosomal RNA". It matches the Rfam family "Bacterial small subunit ribosomal RNA", at positions 28 to 506 of the family's 1533-position model. The record is from RNAcentral.